AGCGCCGAAGAAGCGAGAGUGACGGUAGGCGCAGAAGAAGCACCGGCUAACUACGUGCCAGCAGCCGCGGUAAUACGUAGGGUGCGAGCGUUGUCCGGAAUUAUUGGGCGUAAAGAGCUUGUAGGCGGUUUGUCGCGUCUGCUGUGAAAACCCAGGGCUUAACCCUGGGCCUGCAGUGGGUACGGGCAGACUAGAGUGUGGUAGGGGAGACUGGAAUUCCUGGUGUAGCGGUGAAAUGCGCAGAUAUCAGGAGGAACACCGAUGGCGAAGGCAGGUCUCUGGGCCACUACUGACGCUGAGAAGCGAAAGCAUGGGGAGCGAACAGGAUUAGAUACCCUGGUAGUCCAUGCCGUAAACGUUGGGCGCUAGGUGUGGGACUCAUUCCACGAGUUCCGUGCCGCAGCUAACGCAUUAAGCGCCCCGCCUGGGGAGUACGGCCGCAAGGCUAAAACUCAAAGGAAUUGACGGGGGCCCGCACAAGCGGCGGAGCAUGCGGAUUAAUUCGAUGCAACGCGAAGAACCUUACCAAGGCUUGACAUAUACCGGAAACAUCUGGAGACAGGUGCCCCGCAAGGUCGGUAUACAGGUGGUGCAUGGUUGUCGUCAGCUCGUGUCGUGAG
This 620-nucleotide ribosomal RNA is filed under the name uncultured Nostocoides sp. RNAcentral describes it as "bacterial SSU rRNA". It matches the Rfam family "Bacterial small subunit ribosomal RNA", at positions 438 to 1071 of the family's 1533-position model. Lineage: Bacteria; Bacillati; Actinomycetota; Actinomycetes; Micrococcales; Intrasporangiaceae. The record is from RNAcentral.